AUGAAUGAAGAAAGCAUAGACGGAACAAAUGGAUGCAAUAAAGUCCGAACUGGCACUCAGAAUGAAGCAGCGUUACUUGCUUUGAUGGAAAAGACUGGUUACAACAUGGUUCAAGAAAAUGGGCAAAGGAAGUUUGGUGGUCCCCCUCCAGGUUGGGAAGGUCCACCUCCACCUAGAGGCUGUGAAGUUUUUGUAGGAAAAAUACCUCGUGAUAUGUAUGAAGAUGAGUUAGUUCCUGUAUUUGAAAGAGCCGGGAAGAUAUAUGAAUUUCGACUUAUGAUGGAAUUUAGUGGUGAAAAUCGAGGUUAUGCUUUUGUGAUGUACACUACAAAAGAAGAAGCCCAGUUAGCCAUCAGAAUUCUUAAUAAUUAUGAGAUUCGACCAGGGAGGUUUAUUGGUGUGUGUGUAAGCUUGGAUAAUUGCAGGUUAUUUAUCGGAGCUAUUCCCAAGGAAAAGAAGAAAGAAGAAAUUUUGGAUGAAAUGAAGAAAGUUACAGAAGGAGUUGUAGAUGUCAUUGUUUAUCCAAGUGCAACUGAUAAGACCAAAAAUCGAGGUUUUGCGUUUGUUGAAUACGAAUCUCACAGAGCUGCUGCUAUGGCUAGGAGGAAACUAAUUCCAGGAACAUUCCAACUGUGGGGCCAUACCAUUCAGGUAGAUUGGGCUGACCCAGAGAAAGAGGUUGAUGAGGAAACCAUGCAGAGAGUUAAAGUUCUCUAUGUAAGAAAUUUAAUGAUCUCAACUACAGAGGAAACAAUUAAAGCAGAAUUCAAUAAAUUCAAACCUGGUGCAGUUGAACGAGUAAAGAAACUUAGAGAUUAUGCUUUUGUUCACUUUUUCAACCGAGAAGAUGCGGUGGCUGCUAUGUCUGUUAUGAAUGGAAAAUGCAUUGAUGGAGCAAGUAUCGAGGUAACACUGGCAAAACCAGUAAAUAAAGAAAACACAUGGAGACAGCAUCUUAAUGGUCAGAUUAGCCCCAAUUCUGAAAACCUGAUUGUGUUUGCUAACAAAGAAGAGAACCAUCUAAAAACUGUAGGCAAGCCACCCACUCUUCCAGCUCGUCUCAAUGGUCAGCAUAGCCCAAGCCCCCCUGAAAUCGAAAGAUGCACUUACCCAUUUUUUCCUGGAACAAAGCUUACUCCAAUUAGUAUGUAUUCUUUAAAAUCCAAUCAUUUCAGUUCUGCAGUAAUGCAUUUGGAUUAUUACUGCAACAAAAAUAAUUGGCCACCACCAGAAUAUUAUUUAUAUUCAACAAGUCAAGAUGGGAAAGUACUCUUGGUAUAUAAAAUUGUUAUUCCUGCUAUCGCAAAUGGAUCCCAGAGUUACUUCAUGCCAGACAAACUAUGUACGACGUUAGAAGAUGCAAAGGAACUGGCAGCCCAGUUUACAUUACUUCAUUUGGAACCGCUUGUCCAGCAUUGAAUACAAAUGAUGAUAGAAGGCAUCCUUGUAAACUUUCAAUAUUUCUCCAUUAAGACAGGGAACACAAUCUCUUCAGCCUGGACCUAUGUAGAAGAAUUUGGAGAAAAUAAGCAGGUCCUUUCUGAUGCUUGAGCUUAUUCUGCAGUUGAUCUCAUUCCCGUUGGCUAAAUAUUAAGUCCCAUGACAACAUUAAGUUAAUGCUCAUGUUUAGGCUUCAUUUAUAGUACCAGAAAAAUGAAAAAACCUUACCUGUACAUUAGAUGACCUAAUUCCUUUUCUUCCAUUCCUAGAAACACCCGAACUUUUAUAAAUAAUCAUUUUAUAGUCAUUGUUACACGCUUGGCUUAUUCUACCCUAAAGAACAUAGUUGAGUUUUUGGAAAGUACAGGAUUUACAAAUUUGGUCUUUAAUAUUCACACACAUCUAUAAACAUAAUUAACAAAGCAAGAAAUUAUUGGUGCAUAAGAUGAAUGUUUAUUGUGGAACAGUAAUAGUUCAGAUAUAAGUGGUUUAAAAAAUAAUUUGGUUUAAUUUGGGAUUUUUCUAAACUCUAAGUUGAUAAUGGUUUCUUGAAGUUUAUUUUAUAAAGAUGAUUCAUUUUACUGUUUUAUGGUACCACUAGGACUCUAAUGUUAAGUUGGUGUGUUGAGUUGUAUAAAUGUUUGUAUUCGUAUUUAAAUAAUGAAAUAUUGGACCGUUAGUUUUGCAGUCCAAACAGUUAGGUUUGCAUCAAACCUGGACUGGUUUGAUAACAUCUGCUGGUUUGAUGACUAAUAGUUUCAAAAAAAGAAGCAAAUAUGAAUUCACUGUUUUUUAUUUUUUCUUCAUGGAUUACCCCUUAACAUCAGAAACAAAUUUAGAAGAAGCUUCAUUGUGAAGCAAGAGAAAUCAGAGGUUCUCUUUCCUUGUGAUCAAAAGAAGACACAAAACAAUUAAUAGGUACCCAAGAAGUAGAUAUCCAAAGAAUGCAUUCUAAUAAAAUCUCUGAAGCAUUGUGUCAUUGAAAGAAACAUAUUACUGACUGAUAAAACUAUCAGGAUUUCCAAUGCAGUGAAUGCUGAAACAAUCUUUUUACCAGCAAUAUGGUAUUAUCAGGAUUUUGAAUGUUAGAACAUUAUGUUAAACUGUGAUUAUAGUUUUAAUGCUUUGUCUUUUUGAAUUAAAUUUGUAUCCAUAAAGAUGUGCAGCAUAAUUGUUCAUGUAUUUAUUUACAGACUACAAUUUCCGUCGCAGCUCAAUAAAUAGUCUUUCCCCCGUUAGUGCUACCCUCUCUUCUGGGACUCCCAGCGUGCUUCCUUAUACUUCAAGGCCUUAUUCUUAUCCAAGCUAUUCCUUGUCACCAGCAAUAUCACUUGCU
Molecule: RNA transcript, 2776 nt
Organism: Equus caballus (horse)
Lineage: Eukaryota; Metazoa; Chordata; Mammalia; Perissodactyla; Equidae
Gene: RBM46
Gene name: RNA binding motif protein 46
Source: RefSeq, a predicted model, not a curated record